UACGGAGGGUGCAAGCGUUAUCCGGAUUCACUGGGUUUAAAGGGUGCGUAGGCGGGUAUGUAAGUCAGUGGUGAAAUCUCGGAGCUUAACUCCGAAACUGCCAUUGAUACUAUAUAUCUUGAAUAUUGUGGAGGUUUGCGGAAUAUGUCAUGUAGCGGUGAAAUGCUUAGAUAUGACAUAGAACACCUAUUGCGAAGGCAGCAGGCUACACAUAUAUUGACGCUGAGGCACGAAAGCGUGGGGAUCAAACAGG
RNAcentral lists this ribosomal RNA (253 nucleotides) under uncultured bacterium. Its description in RNAcentral is "partial 16S ribosomal RNA". It matches the Rfam family "Bacterial small subunit ribosomal RNA", at positions 524 to 776 of the family's 1533-position model. The record is from RNAcentral.